AGCAGCAUGGCGCAGUUGGAAGCGCGCGGGGCCCAUAUUACAGGACAUAAUAGAUCCAGAUAUCGAACCCCGAGGUCACUUGAUCGAAACAAGUUGCUGCUA
Molecule: non-coding RNA, 102 nt
Organism: Termitomyces sp. T32_za158
Lineage: Eukaryota; Fungi; Basidiomycota; Agaricomycetes; Agaricales; Lyophyllaceae
Source: the annotation of a GenBank genome assembly